RNAcentral lists this ribosomal RNA (465 nucleotides) under uncultured bacterium. RNAcentral's name for it is "bacterial SSU rRNA". It matches the Rfam family "Bacterial small subunit ribosomal RNA", at positions 329 to 792 of the family's 1533-position model. The record is from RNAcentral.
UGCCAGACUCCUACGGGAGGCAGCAGUGAGGAAUAUUGGUCAAUGGACGGAAGUCUGAACCAGCCAUGCCGCGUGCAGGAAGACGGCUCUAUGAGUUGUAAACUGCUUUUGUACAAGGGUAAACCUGAAUACGUGUAUUCAGCUGAAAGUACUGUACGAAUAAGGAUCGGCUAACUCCGUGCCAGCAGCCGCGGUAAUACGGAGGAUGCGAGCGUUAUCCGGAUUUAUUGGGUUUAAAGGGUGCGUAGGCGGAGUGUCAAGUCAGCGGUAAAAUUUCGGGGCUCAACCCCGUCGUGCCGUUGAAACUGACACCCUUGAGUGAGUGAGAAGUAAGCGGAAUGCGUGGUGUAGCGGUGAAAUGCAUAGAUAUCACGCAGAACGCCGAUUGCGAAGGCAGCUUACCGGCGCUCAACUGACGCUGAGGCACGAAAGUGCGGGUAUCGAACAGGAUUAGAUACCCUUGUA